Molecule: ribosomal RNA, 429 nt
Filed under: Bacteroidota bacterium
Lineage: Bacteria; Pseudomonadati; Bacteroidota
Description: Bacteroidetes bacterium partial 16S ribosomal RNA
Rfam family: Bacterial small subunit ribosomal RNA
Source: RNAcentral
UAGGGAAUCUUCCGCAAUGGGCGAAAGCUUGACGGAGCAACGCCGCGUGAGUGAUAAAGGUCUUCGGAUCGUAAAACUCUGUUAUUAGGGAAGAACAAAUGUGUAAGUAACUAUGCACGUCUUGACGGUACCUAAUCAGAAAGCCACGGCUAACUACGUGCCAGCAGCCGCGGUAAUACGUAGGUGGCAAGCGUUAUCCGGAAUUAUUGGGCGUAAAGCGCGCGUAGGCGGUUUUUUAAGUCUGAUGUGAAAGCCCACGGCUCAACCGUGGAGGGUCAUUGGAAACUGGAAAACUUGAGUGCAGAAGAGGAAAGUGGAAUUCCAUGUGUAGCGGUGAAAUGCGCAGAGAUAUGGAGGAACACCAGUGGCGAAGGCGACUUUCUGGUCUGUAACUGACGCUGAUGUGCGAAAGCGUGGGGAUCAAACAGG